This is a non-coding RNA of Oryza sativa Japonica Group (Japanese rice), 2384 nucleotides long. NCBI's taxonomy places the organism in Eukaryota, Viridiplantae, Streptophyta, Magnoliopsida, Poales, Poaceae. The record is from RefSeq and is a predicted model, not a curated record.
GAGUCCCCGCCGCACGCCACCGCAUCGUGUGCCCCUGCAGGCGCCGUGGUGGUUCCCCUUCCCUAACCCGUCGAAGUUCACCGGAGAAGCCCGGCCCCUUCUCUCAAACUCGCUCACCGGAGACAGAGAAGAUGAAUAAGCGCGUGGAGAGGAGAGGAGGAAGAGGGUGAGUCGCAUGCUGCCUGCUCCGAUUCCCCUCCGUGUGCGCGAGUUCUGGCAUCACGGCAUGAACUACCUCUUCGGCCCCAGGGAUCUCAUGCCUGUUGUGAAUGUGGUUGUCUGCAUCGGACAGCACGAGAGAGAUGCUGCAGUCCACCGCUGCCACCGACGGAGCCGGCCGUGGCCAGAGCCGAUGUUGUCCCCAGUCGCUGCCGAAGCUGAGGUCAUCCCCUUCCGCCGCCGCACUCCACCACUGACCCCGCUGGAGCCGAGGUCUGCCAGAGCCGUGCUCUUCCCCAUCCGCCGCCGGAGCCGAUAGCGUAAUGUUAAUCAUAUUUUCAUAUUGUGUGAAAUAUUUUGUUGUAUAAAUUAAUGUAUGGAGUCAUGAGCAAUAUGCUCUAGAAAUACAUGGUUAUGAUGCUACCUUCAACUUGCUGCUGCUGGCCUGAUCUUCCCUUGGUGAUGAACAACAGGAUACAUGGGAGAAUGGCUCUGCCAGCCAACAUUGUUGACAAGGACAGGUAAAUCAGAUUCACUAUGUUGCAACUUCAAUCCAAAAAUAUUAUAUUGCACACACAAUUCACAUAUGGUAAAUCAAAUUCCCUUGCCGCCGCCGAACUCCACCGCUGCCACAGGUUUUGCCUCGGAGGUGUUCGACUGAAUGCCACUCAACCAAUAUGGUUUCUAUUUAUUCCUAACCAUUGCCUCAUAUAUUUUAUUGUUCAUAGGUCUAUCUAUCUCCUUACAGUGGAGGGAUACAUCGUUGGGCUAGGACUAACAGCUUGCAGCUUGUUCACCAUUCAGCUUUAAGAAAAUAUUGUACAUGGUUUAUCCAGUUGACGAUGAUACAUGUUGGUUGGUUUUCAUACUACUUUAGUUGUUGCUCUAUUAACCUCCAGGGAAGAUCAAGGAGGUUGUUCCUACGAAUACAAAUCAUGCUCAGACGCUAUUAAAUCAGCCACUGAUUCACAUAUUCACAAAGCUUAUUUUACAUGGGUACAUACUCUCUAGCAUUAUUCAGCAAACUAUCUUUUGGUUGAACAGAGACUAUUGAUGAGGCUCUUCAAGACCUGGAUGAUUGCCUAACAAUUGUGAUUUUGUUUACAACUACUAGGAGAUGAUGGUGUGUGAAUUGAGAAUCCUUAAUUGUCAUCGGUUCAGCGCUAUAAACUCCCCUAUAAAACUUACCAUGAGGCAUAUUUUCAAGAAUUAAUCAUGAGUUUAACUCUCAAUUGUUCGCAAUGCUAGCACAGGUGCAGUAAUGACAUAUGACAAUGAAGAUUUGAUUCGGCAAUGGAGGCAAAUGCAGUCCUUUUCCCUUCCCGUACCUAAUUCAUAUGCUUUCUAUUUAAUCCUUGCAAUUGCCUCAGAAGUUGAAUGAAUCUAAUCUUGUUUUCUUCCUAGGCUCCUCGGUUAUCUUAUUGGUUUGUUGUUUGCUUGUUAGGACUGAGUUGACGACAAAUCGAACUGAAGAAGAAUUUGUGGGCGAAAAGUGCUACUGGUACUGUUAUUAAGUGUUUUCAGUCGUUUUUCACCGAUCGAUACCUAUUCAGUCAUUGAUUUCAAUCUUGAUGGUUUUCCACAUGUACUUUUAGCAUAUUGUUUCUUGCAUGUGACCUUCUUUAUGAUUGUAUUGCACAACUACAUUCUUCUUGUGAGCAUUCAUUUAUCCAAUUCUCAAGAAGUCAACCAGGCUCCUGUUUUUUAAUUUAUUUCUACAUAUCUGUGUAUUUAUGAAUAAUUGUUCCAAUUCUUAUUUGGUUACCACUGCUUCAAUCUUUUUCAAUUUUAAAAAUGAUUUGACUAAGGUAAGGGCACUGAGAUUUUGGAAAACAAUAUCAUCGAGAAUGACAUGAAAUCUGGUUUGUUCUUACACAUGGUUUGGGCAUGAUUAUCAAUUUUCGGCUGUACUGAUAUUUGGUUUUGAAUUUAAUUUGUGUCACUACAAUCGGUAUUUGUUAAAUGCAGCUAUGGUAAUGUACAGUUCUAAUUUGAAGUUGGAAGAUUAUAUCACUCCCAUUUAUUGAAUGUUUUUCAAAUGAAUACUCUAUUGUGCUAUUUUAAUUAAGUAUAUGCAUGUCAAGGGGUAAUGCACGUGCAAUGUGUCACUGUAUCAACUGAAUAAACAUGAACGUGUAAGGACAUUAGAGCUGUAUAACCAAAUUGUUUUCUAUAUCCAAUGUGGUGAAAGUUAAUUAUAUAAAGCAAGGAUUACAUGAUGUCAA